This 424-nucleotide ribosomal RNA is filed under the name Verrucomicrobiota bacterium. Its description in RNAcentral is "Verrucomicrobia bacterium partial 16S ribosomal RNA". It matches the Rfam family "Bacterial small subunit ribosomal RNA", at positions 355 to 776 of the family's 1533-position model. Lineage: Bacteria; Pseudomonadati; Verrucomicrobiota. The record is from RNAcentral.
UGAGGAAUAUUGGUCAAUGGGCGAGAGCCUGAACCAGCCAAGUAGCGUGCAGGAUGACGGCCCUAUGGGUUGUAAACUGCUCUUAUAUGGGAAUAAAGUGAGGGACGUGUCCCUUAUUGCAUGUACCAUACGAAUAAGGACCGGCUAAUUCCGUGCCAGCAGCCGCGGUAAUACGGAAGGUCCAGGCGUUAUCCGGAUUUAUUGGGUUUAAAGGGAGCGUAGGCUGUUUGUUAAGCGUGUUGUGAAAUGUAGGAGCUCAACUUUUAGAUUGCAGCGCGAACUGGCAGACUUGAGUGCGCACAACGUAGGCGGAAUUCAUGGUGUAGCGGUGAAAUGCUUAGAUAUCAUGACGAACUCCGAUUGCGAAGGCAGCUUACGGGAGCGCAACUGACGCUAAAGCUCGAAGGUGCGGGUAUCGAACAGG